This 492-nucleotide ribosomal RNA is filed under the name uncultured bacterium. RNAcentral's name for it is "partial 16S ribosomal RNA". It matches the Rfam family "Bacterial small subunit ribosomal RNA", at positions 29 to 507 of the family's 1533-position model. The record is from RNAcentral.
AGUGAACGCUGGCGGUAGGCCUAACACAUGCAAGUCGAACGGCAGCACAGUAAGAGCUUGCUCUUACGGGUGGCGAGUGGCGGACGGGUGAGGAAUACAUCGGAAUCUACUUUUUCGUGGGGGAUAACGUAGGGAAACUUACGCUAAUACCGCAUACGACCUACGGGUGAAAGCAGGGGAUCUUCGGACCUUGCGCGAUUGAAUGAGCCGAUGUCGGAUUAGCUAGUUGGCGGGGUAAAGGCCCACCAAGGCGACGAUCCGUAGCUGGUCUGAGAGGAUGAUCAGCCACACUGGAACUGAGACACGGUCCAGACGCCUACGGGAGGGAGCAGUGGGGAAUAUUGGACAAUGGGCGCAAGCCUGAUCCAGCCAGACCGCGUGGGUGAAGAAGGCCUUCGGGUUGUAAAGCCCUUUUGUUGGGAAAGAAAAGCAGCAGGUUAAUACCCCGCUGUUCUGACGGUACCCAAAGAAUAAGCACCGGCUAACUUCGUG